AUACGGAGGACGCGAGCGUUAUCCGGAUUCAUUGGGUUUAAAGGGUGCGCAGGCGGCCGUGCAAGUCAGCGGUGAAAGCCCGGGGCUCAACCCCGGAAGUGCCGUUGAUACUGCGUGGCUGGAAUGCGGUCGAGGCGGGCGGAACGGGGCGUGUAGCGGGGAAAUGCGUAGAUAUGCCACAGAACGCCGAUAGCGGAGGCAGCUCGCCAGGCCUGCAUUGACGCUCGGGCACGAAAGCGUGGGGAUCGAACAGGAUUAGAUACCCUGGUAGUCCACGCCGUAACGAUGGGCGCUCGUCGUCGGCGACAGACAGUCGGCGGCCAAGCGAAAGCGAUAAGCGCCCCACCUGGGGAGUACGGUCGCAAGGCUGAAACUCAAAUGAAUUGACGGGG
RNAcentral lists this ribosomal RNA (392 nucleotides) under uncultured bacterium. Its description in RNAcentral is "partial 16S ribosomal RNA". It matches the Rfam family "Bacterial small subunit ribosomal RNA", at positions 523 to 918 of the family's 1533-position model. The record is from RNAcentral.